UGCCAGCCGCCGCGGUAAUACGGAGGGUGCGAACGUUAAUCGGAAUUACUGGGCGUAAAGCGCGCGUAGGUGGUUUAUUAAGUGGGAUGUGAAAGCCCCGGGCUUAACCUGGGAACUGCAUUCCAAACUGAUGAACUAGAGUACGAUAGAGGGGGGUAGAAUUCAGAGUGUAGCGGUGAAAUGCGUAGAUAUUCUGAGGAAUACCGGCGGCGAAGGCGGCCCCCUGGAUCGAUACUGACGCUGAGGUGCGAAAGUGUGCGCAGCAAACAGGAUUAGAUA
This 279-nucleotide ribosomal RNA is filed under the name uncultured bacterium. RNAcentral describes it as "partial 16S ribosomal RNA". It matches the Rfam family "Bacterial small subunit ribosomal RNA", at positions 506 to 784 of the family's 1533-position model. The record is from RNAcentral.